UAUACUCCCUAGUCAUACACGUUUACGUAUGCAUACAAAAACUCACACGUGUAAUAUGGUCUAGACCAAAACAUAAUGUAGAAUGUCGAUUCUUUCACUAAACGGUCUAAAUUCUAUAAUUAAUAAUUUGGAUGAUUGGGUACAUAAUCUUUAUUUUAAAGUCCUUCAUCUUAGGUACGUUACCAUCUUAACAUGCUAGAUUACCGGUUCAUAGAUAUGUUGAAGUUUUCCACGGUAGUAAAAGAGUCUUUAAUUAGUUUAUUCGUUACU
This 270-nucleotide long non-coding RNA is filed under the name Brassica napus (rape). RNAcentral describes it as "long non-coding RNA (BNAP_LNC024916)". Lineage: Eukaryota; Viridiplantae; Streptophyta; Magnoliopsida; Brassicales; Brassicaceae. The record is from RNAcentral.